UCAUUAAUGUCUCCUAUCUUUAAGGUUUUGUUGCCUCCCAACAUUAUUUUCCUAUAACAGAGCUUCAUAGUAGCAAUCUAGAGAGCCAACUUCAUUUCAGCGAGUUAAACCUCUGUAUGGUUAAAUAAUUCAUGUUCACAGUUAUUUUAGGAUGAAGCAUAAUAGCAGUAAGUCUUCUUUACAACAGGGGGUAGAUCUUCUUCCAUUUAUGAACCUCAAAUUCCUCAUCGGUCAGAUAAGGGUUAGAUGGGAAAAUGCCCAUGUACUAGUUGUGCUGAUUAAAAUAGAUUCAAAUGUGAGAGGGCUUGUGUACGGAAUGUUGUAAAAAUUUUGUCAUCACAUUUCAAUCUAACUCUUUCACUCUAUAAAACA
Molecule: long non-coding RNA, 372 nt
Filed under: Bos taurus (domestic cattle)
Lineage: Eukaryota; Metazoa; Chordata; Mammalia; Artiodactyla; Bovidae
Description: long non-coding RNA NONBTAT018903
Source: RNAcentral